AGAGUUUGAUCCUGGCUCAGGACGAACGCUGGCGGCGUGCCUAACACAUGCAAGUCGAACGAGAAAGUGGUAGCAAUACCAUGAGUAAAGUGGCGCACGGGUGAGUAACACGUGACUAACCUACCCAGAAGUGGGGGAUAACUGAGGGAAACCUUAGCUAAUACCGCAUAACACCUACGGGUCAAAGGAGCAAUUCGCUU
Molecule: ribosomal RNA, 200 nt
Filed under: uncultured bacterium
Lineage: Bacteria
Description: partial 16S ribosomal RNA
Rfam family: Bacterial small subunit ribosomal RNA
Source: RNAcentral